Molecule: long non-coding RNA, 9007 nt
Filed under: Panax ginseng (ginseng)
Lineage: Eukaryota; Viridiplantae; Streptophyta; Magnoliopsida; Apiales; Araliaceae
Description: long non-coding RNA (PGIN_LNC005962)
Source: RNAcentral
CCAUUUCCUCUCUAUUCUUCCCUUCUCCCCUUCCAUCAUGACAACGAUUUAGGGCAUCCAGCACUACAACGAUUUAGGGCUUUCUAGUCCAAUUUCAAAUAUAUUUUUCCUCCCUUCUUCAGCUUUCACACUAACAUACCCAAUUAUUUAAAUUUGCUUAUCAAAUGAUUCGGAUUUUAGACACUCUUGUUUUAGUUUGGGUAAAUUACACCUAUUUCUGAAAAUGUUCGAACUAACUUGGGUUUCAUUUUUUGGUCUUUUUGAAAAAGAUUAAUCAACUAUUGAGUCUUUUUGAAUAUAUAUUGUUGGUUGUUCUGAUAGGCAGCGGUCGGUAUAUUGACCACAUACCUAUCUUUCUUUCUCAGAGAAUUAAGAUGCAAACUCUGCAAAAACUUAUUCUCUCUCAUGAAUCCCCUCAAUGGGUUAGCCUAUCCUUCACUAAUCACAGAAUCCAUCAAGACCAAUCUGGGUCAAGUGAACCCGUCUGUUGGCUCUCCAGCACCACAAGAUCAAACAAAGACGCACCAUUCGAAUCAAUCAAUGAGCUCUUAAUUGUCAAACAAUCUCUUGAACAAGGUGAAGAAGAACUCAUUUUUUGCGAUGAAAAACAAGUGGUUUAAAUGGUAAAUUAUUUGGUUCCAAAUUCUGUACCGUUUAUUCUUUUGGUAUGAGGAUUGAAACUAGUGAUGUGUAGCUUAUAUACAUAUGCUCAGCUGGCUUACAGUGGACUUGAUAAAUAAAAUGGUAAAAUAAUAUAAUUUAGGAAUAUAAAUUGAAUGUUGCGACAUGAAUGAAUAUAAGGGUAGUAGAUCAGAAACCUUUCCCUUGCAAUAAUAGUUAGCUAUAUUAUGUGGCUAGGCCUGACCUCCUUCUGUUUGAGCCUGGGUCUAGCCUAAAUAAUGGUCAAAGCCAGGCGACCUAUUUGUGCAUGUCUUUGUUAAUAGAUUAAGCACAUACUAAUGUUGGGAUAAGAAGAUAUUGCAACUUCUAUGCUAAUAAAAUAUUUUUUGUAAUUUCUAUGUAAGAAAAUAUUUGAAGGGGUAAGGUCUUUGAUUUCAAAUUCAUUGGUAAGUUUUGCCUUGCGAUUAACCAUCUCUUUUUUAUUAUUUUUAGUUGCUACAAUGUUAUUGACAUAGACAAUGAGAAUGAUAAUAUUGUCAUUUUCACGUUUGACAAACAUAGUGUGAUCUGGCCGUUUUUGUUUAUACCCAAAUCUCAUCAUGGUUUUAUAGAACAUGUCAAACCUUGACAAAAAUAGUGUGAUUUGCUCGGCUUUGCACUUUGCUUGUACCCAAAUCUCAUCAUGGUUUUAUAGAACCUGCCAAACCUUGACGAACAAAAUGUGAUCUGCCCGGCUUUUCUUAUACCAAAAUCUCAUCAUGGCUUUAUAGUGUGAUCUGUUCGACUUUGCUUGUACUCAAAUUUUAUCAUAAUUUUAUAGAACCUGUCGAACUUUGUUCUAGGGACCGUUUCAACCCAUAUAGAGGUAUAUAGAGCAACAGAAAACAUAUAAAAGGGAUUUGGAUUCUAGGCGGUCCAAAUAGGGCAAUUCAUUUGGACAGUCAUAUGAAAACAAGUUGAAUUUGUAUAACUGAGAGUUAUAAUAGUAUAAUAUAUGAAUUCGAAAUGCAACUCUGACCUAUAUGAAUGCAACUCGUUUGUAUAAAAUGCCCGAAUAGAUUGUCCAUUUCUAACUGUGACAUUAGGAUCCAUAUAAAACCUAGUAUAAGAUUGUGCACUUCCUCAAGGGUAUCUAGCUAGAAUGUAUCGCUCCCGUGUAUAAGCAGAUGUUGUAUAUUCUUGAAUUUGUUAAAAUAGGAAGAUGCAUACUGAAUAGCAAGUUCCCUUUAGCUGGGGCCUUUCAAUUCUAAUCUCUUUUGGUACUUCAACAAUGAACUCUAAACUUUGGUUAAUAAACUUCAAACUCUGGUUUAUAAACCUUGAAACCUUGUUAAUAAAGUAACCUUUAUUCUUAUUAGCGGCAGAUGAUAUGUGUUUUUUAUUGUCCGCUAAUAAUAGUAGCGGACGUCGAUUUCUAAUCGUUCCUUUUUAUUUUGGUGUAUGUCCUAUAAGAAUUUAUAGCAAAUGCAUAUUAUGGAUCAUUCUCAUAUAUAUAUAUAUAUAUAUAUAUAUAUAUAUAUAUAUUUCUGCUUGAAAUUCUUAUUUAUUACUCCCUCCGUUCCUUAAUAUAAGUUAUUUUAGAGAAAUGUUUUUAUUCCUAAAUAUAAGUCGUUUGAGAAUUUCAAGUAAGUAUUAAUUGCUUAGUUUCCAAUAUUACCCCAAGUAAUAAAUAUAACUUUGGUUCCCUCACUAUUUUUUGUCCAAUAAAUAACACUCUUUUUUUUCAAUACAAGGGCAAUAUAGACAAUUGAUAAUAUAUUUAAUGUUUUAUAAUCAUUUUCUUCAUACAUGCACAACUCUAAAACGACCUAUAUUAAGGAACGGAUAGAGUACUAUGUAAGAAGAAGCCACCAAGAAGUGCAAUUCCGUAUGUGACUCAUUGAUUUCCAAGUUUUAACAAUUCUUAGUGUUAAAACUCCCCCCUGAUCCUACUUUAGUAAUUUCAUUUAUUUUCUGUCUAAAAUAUUUCUCAUGGACCUAAAUCAUAUCAUGAAGUCGUCUUAAUUUCAUUUUCACCUUUUGCAAAACCCCGGAACAAGUCCAGUCUCCUAACUAGUACUCUUUCAUCAUCUUUAUCUCUAUGAUCAACAAAAUCGACAUUGAGAUCGAUUUCAGAUAAAGGAGCUCGAUUUCUCUGUCGUGGAGCCAUGUCAAAGUAACGAUCAAAAUAAUCCUUAGAAAUCUCGUUUGAAGUCUAUUGAGAAUGAGAUCCAUUAUGCUUGCAUAUGCCUCUUUUAGUUGUGUUUAGCCGGAGAAAAAAUUUGGCGGAAUUUUAUUUUUUUGCGGAGAGAGAAAUUUUUUAUCAGGAUGUGAAACGUCCAUCAAUUAUGAGAGUGUAAAAUGAAGUCUGGUGUUAAUGGAGAAUUAACACCCUGUUUCUGAGUUUUGAACAGAAAAGAAAAGAAUAGAAAACUUAAAUUAGAACAGAAAAGAAAAAAAUAGAAAAUUUGAAAUUUUCUUCUGUGUUGUUUCUGAGUUUUUAAUAGAAAAGAAUAGAAAAUUUAAAAUUGAGGACAUGAGUUGUAAUUUAAAAUUUAUUAUAUUAAAAGUUGAGGAUAAUAUGAGAAUUAUAAAAAUAUUACUUAUUCCAAUUUCUUUUCCGUCCAAAUCAGGCCAAUUUUAGACGAAAAACUUUGGCAAGAAAAGUGGUCAAGUUUUCUAUCUAUUUCUUUUCCUUUCUGUUUAUUAAAAAAUUCAGAAACAUAAGAAUUGGAAAGAAAACUUAAAUUUUUCGUCCAUUUCUUUUCUUUUCUGUCUAUUUUAAAACUCAGAAACAAAGCGUAAAUGAGAUUAAAGUAUUAAUUAAGGGUAAAAUAGUAAAAUUGUAUCUAUUCUUAAUCUGUGUAAAAAUUUCUAGAACGUCAGAUAUAAUGAGAUGAAGAGAGUAGUAGACUUCGAAACUACCACCUUCCACCCCCGUGGGAACUCGUCAUCUACUUUGCUCCUGCCCUCGUCACCAUUAGAAAUUAAAGCUUUGUCCCCACGCCAUCCAAGGAUUCUAGGAAGCAAUAAAAAUUGAGAGCAGAUCCUUUGUCCCCAAAUUCCCUGUCCCCCUUGUGUCCCCCUACUUAAAUUUUAACACAUGUUCUUUUAUUUAAUUUUAGAAUUAAAUAAUGUUAAUAGACUAGGUGUCAAAAUUUAAGUGAAGGAACACAAGGGGAUAGGAAAAUUAAGGACAGGGGAUCUGCUCUCAUAAAAAUCCUAGAUACAGUCAAGCCAAGAUGCGCCACAAAUUUGGAUUGAUUUACGAGUUUAUUGGCUUUAACCAAUGGAUGUAUGACACUACACAUGUUAUGUGACGCCCCGAAAAAUAGGUAUACAUCACCCAUCUUGAGUAGCCAGAUACAUGGUACAAAAUACAAAUACAACUUAAUUAUACAAACGUCGUGUAAAAAUACGAGAAAACAUAACUGAGAGUUUUAAUAAGAAUAUUGUUAUCUAGACAAUAUUCACACUCAAAGGAGUCCUCAUUACAUUUAUUGUCACACUAUUUAACAGAAUAGUGAGGACUACUAAUGCUAUUAUCUGGACCGUCACUCCGUUCCCCGACUCGUCCCAACUAUAUUCUCAUUUCCUGAAGAGAACAAUGAAAACAAAAGGGUGAGCUCAACUAACCCAGUAAAAAAUAUUGUGACUAAGAUAAUGCAGAAUAAAUUAUCGUUACCCGUUAACAGUAUUGAACUGAUACAAUAUAACAAACAUCAAGUUUAACUAUAGCGGAAUAAGCAAUCCAUUAAAAGAGUCAAGUAGAGAAUAAAAUCUACUAUCUUUUAUGAUUUAAAAAGAUUUUUCAUCACUUUUAUCGCUGGGACUCAGCUUAAUAAAUAAUCCACAUCAUCCCUGCACUACGGCCAAUGAUAUUCAUUAGUAUCACAACCACAAAUUAUUCAUGCACUACGGGCCAAGGAUAUUCGUGUAUUCAUCAAUGGUCAUAAUCAUACCAACAACUGUCCAUCAAUGCACUACUGGCCAAUGAGGACUUUUACCACAUCAUUUGUAACAUUACGGUCAUGAUUGUACCGAAUAAUUCCUUGUCAUAAUCAUACCAAGUCCAUCUAUGCACUACAGACCACAGAUGACUUUCAACAUAAUAUAAACAUGAGGAUGAUGACAAUGAUAUAAGAAUUCAAUAAAACAAGUUCAAGAAUUAAUUUAUCUAGGAACUAAUAACGUCCAAAUUGUCAACAUGAUACUUCUUUGUAGAGUAAAAUUCAAGAAUGCUCAGAAGAAUAUUUCCAUGAAAAGAUACUGGAUGAAGCGCAAAUAUCAAGGAUAUUCCACUAAUUUCAUGGAGUAUAGAAGUCAAAACUUUAACCAACUGAAUAUAAAUAAGAAUGGAAUAAUAAAAGAAAUCACCAGGCAUGCAAUAGACCGCACAUACAGGUUAUUCCAACAGAAUAAUAAAUAACGGAACCAGGUCAUGCGUAAACGCACAGACAGGAUAUUCUAACAGAAUAAUAAAUAAUGAAACCAGGUCAUGCGUAAACACACAGACAGGAUGUUCCAACAGAAUAAUAAAGAAUGGAAUAACAGAAGAAUUUCACCAUGUAUGCGGUACUUCGCAUAGACAGGUUAUUCCAACAUAAUGAUAAAGAAUGGAACAACAGAAGAAUUUCACCAUGUAUGCGGUACUUCGCAUAGACAUAUUAUUCCAACAUAAUGAUAAAUAAUGGAAUAACAAAAGAAUUUCACCAAGUAUAAGGUAGCCCGCGUAUACAGGUUAUUCCAACAGAAUAAUAAAGAAUGGAAUAACAGAAGUUCUCUUCAUGAAUACGAAAGAAAUAAUACCCCUUACGAUUACAACAAAUAAUAUCCCUUACCUUAGAAGAAAGUGGAUAUAGAAGUAGUGAAGUAACAAAAUACUUUUUUUUUCUCUCUAUAGUUUCUCUCUCUAGAGUUUCAGUGAAUUCCUAAGAAAUAAUGAAAGAAUGAGCUUCUAUUUAUAGGAGAAUGGACUGAAUAGUAACUAACUCAUGAACGGUCCAGAUUGAUUUACUUUUAAACGGAUGGUCCAUAUUGAUUUACUAUGCAGUAUUAAUAAAAUAUUCUAAUAAAACAAAAUCUUUUAAAUAAAAUAUAAUAUAUUCUAUUUAUAAUCUAAUAAAACGAAUAACUUUAUAAAAGAUUUUACUAUGCAAAUACUAUGCAGGCACUAUGUAAAUACUAUGCAUAAUAAAAUAUAGUAUAUUCUAAUUAUUAUCUAAUAAAACAAAUAACUUUAUAAAAGUAUUUUGUUUUAUAUAAAAAGAUUUUACUAUGCAAAAUACUAUGCAUAAUAAAAUAUAAUUUAAUAACAUUUAUCAUCAUCAUUAUAAUUCACAAUAUUAAUCGAUCAGGUCGUUCCCAGGAAAGAGGGGGCUUUCCAAUAACGAUUUCUCCUUAUUGGCGCGCAAUUAGGUGACCAAACCUCCCCUCGACAGAAUUUUCUAGACAUCGUUAAUAUUGUAAAUAAUAAUAUGAAUAAUUGUAUCGUCUCAAUUAUUGAUUUAAUAAUAUAUAAAAUAUCGACAAUAAUUGAAUCAAAUAACGUGAGAUACUAUGCAACAAUUACUGUAGCAAUAAUUGAACAAAACUGAGUGACUUCUCACGUAAGCAUCAAUAAUCAAUACCGUGUGCUACUAUGCAACCACGCGUAUUACUGUACUUUUAACACCGGGUGUUUCAACAGUUAACGGUAAAACUUCCGCCGUUAUUUUCAUAAAGUAUUUUUGUCGUUUUCUCAAUCCGACAAUAAUUCCGUUGUGGGGUCCACCAAUGAUUGUGCCGUUGUACGAAUAUUCCCUGUUAAAACGAAUAUUCCCCGACCAAUCGAAUAUUAUAUAACAACUUGCGUACUUUGCAAAAUUUAUAAAUAUUACCCACAACUAUAACAUUAUAUCAAAUCCACACCAUAAUAUUCAAAAAAAUAUUUCGAGAAAUUUAAAUCUUUAUUCAUAAAAUUUGGGGUCUCACAUGUUAUCCUUACAUUUAUUCAGUACUUCCAUAAUAAACGUUCUAAUUUGACUUUCAUGGUCAAAUUGAUCAUUUUUAUAAUUAUAAAUAUUUAUAUUGAAUUUUCAAAAUCCCUAGUAAUAAAUUCUUCGUAGUUUAUUACGAUCAUAAUCACUUGUCACAUAUUUUGAUUUUUUUUAAAAAAAUUAUUAAUUUAAAAAAUGGCGAAUUUGAUCAUGAAAGUCAAAUUAUGACGUUUAUUAUGAGACCGAGAGAGUAUGAAAUAAGUUUUGAUUGAAACUCGUUUAGCUACCGAGUCUAGCACGAUCUCGAAUCGAGUUUGACUAGUUUGAAUUUUUUGAACGAAUGUGAUCUUAUUGAAAAUUACUAGGUUGGAGUAAAUUAUCGAAUUUUAUUCAACUUGUGAUUUUGGAGUAGCUAGAUGAGUUGAAGGGUUGCAUUUGCAUGUGUCGACACAAGUGAUGGGGUAUAUAUAUAUACAGAGAAGUUCUUAGACGGACCAAUUUGAACGGACUUGCAACGGACCAAAGGCAAAAAAAUAGCAAAAAAGCACGCGAGUCACAAAAUGGGUUAAAACAUGAGGCGGGUCACAAAAAAAAGGGGGGGGGAAACAAAGUUACUGCCGUCUGCCGAUUCCCUCUCUCUCUCCACGAUGCUCUCUCCCCAAAUCCUGCCGAUUCUCUCUCCCCGAUUCUGAGUAGUUUUUGCAUUUUUUCCAAAAAUUCCCUCUCUGUCAAAGCGAGUCUGAAGCAAACCGGAAGGAAAAAAGAUCGAACAGAACUUGUUGUAAACAGAGAGGUAAAGAUUCUGAGCAUAUAAAUCUUGUAAUUUCAAUUUGAUUUGAAAGAAAUCUAUGUAAUUUCAAUUUGAUUUGAAAGAAAUCUAGGGUUUCUGAGCAUAUGCUUUUUGUAAAGUCGCGUGAAUCUCUCUCAAACCCCUUCUCGCAAACCAAAUCGCGAGGUCAUUUUGGCUAUACCUGUAAGGCGAAGUUUAGAUCUGUAAGUUGAUAUUAAUUUCUGAAUUAUUAACUGUUGAUUUGGUUGUAGAUGUACUUAGUCACACAGUUGACAUCAAAAUAAUGGAAAUAGUCUCAAUUUUUCUUAGACCUUAGAAGUCUGCCCUGUUUCUUAAAAUGUACACAGACUGUUAAGUAAACUGCGUUACCCUGUUAGAGCUACCCUAAGACUUCAUUUCUAAACUUUCUUAGAAUUGUUUACAGUUGAUUUAUAAAUCUCUUUGUUUUACAAAUGUCAAGAUAACAAGUGAUAUGGGUAGUUUUUGAACUGGGUUAGUGUUGUAGAUUUUGAUCGAAUUGUAAAUGGGGCUGUGUAUUUUAUGGGUUUUGUUUCAUUUAUUCUUCACAUAUGUAUGAUUGUUAUUUGAGCUGUCAUCUAUCUAAUAAACUGUUUUACUUUGAUAUGGGUGAAAUGACAAAAUAAGCAAGUACAAAAAUGAAUAUUUAUGUUUGUUUUUUUGGUUCAAAGAUGCAUAAGUUAUUUUCUUUUUGUUUUUUUUCUCUUGCCAAAUGUUUGUAUAAAUACCCAACUAGGAUAAGAACAAAGCUGUCUAAUCAGACAUGAGAAUGAACCUAAUCUGAUAUUCAAAUGAACAAAUGAAUACAUUAUUAUUAUACUGCUUAUGUGUUGAAGGCUUAUGUAGUUUUGCUUGAAUUGUAGACAUGAAUACAUACUGCUUAUGUGUUGAAGGCUUUUGUAGUCAUUAUUAUUAAUAUCAUUAUGAUGAUUCUUUGUUUGUCUUGACCUUGAAUUAACCGUCCUGCACAUUCUGUAGUCCUUGUUUCUCUCUUUACUUCCUUCCCCUGUCUUAAUGGUUGGUUUACAUUAUAUAAAUCCUUUAAAUCUUUUCAGUGACUUGUUGCUAAUUGCUUUUUUCCUUUCUCUCUAAUAGGUAUGUUUAUUUGGGUCUUUUUCUGAAGAUGAAGUCAGGUCCUUGUUCAACUAGUCACCUGAAACUGCUAGUGAUGCUUUGAUUAGUGGAAGCGAGGUUAACACUCCGGCUCAUGGGAGUGAAAUGGGCACUACGGUUCAUGGUGAUGGUGAUGAAGAUAUGGAGGAUAUGGGAGUGAAAUGGACACUACGGUUCAGUCUGCUCUCAGCAUGCUUUGUGGUCUCUUUAUUGUACUAUUUGCAGUUUUUCUUUGUUAGUUGUGGAUUGGUGGUGAUCAGAAUGAAUGUUAUAAUUUUGUCCCUACCUAAUCUCACUUCUGAUGUAUUAAUAUUAGAAUUGGAUUUUGAUUACGAUUAGAAACCUUGGAAUUUUAUUGUUAUCAUAGUGAAAAGUGGGGUGUUUGAGUAUGUUAUUUGUGCAAAUCAUAAGCAUGGAGUCAUCUAAGUAUAGAUGUGGAUUUUCUUUUGUUGAUGAAUGGUUGUGUCCAUUAGAAUUGCAUAGCAGCCAUAGCUUGCUCCAUUUUGUA